This 321-nucleotide ribosomal RNA is filed under the name uncultured bacterium. RNAcentral describes it as "partial 16S ribosomal RNA". It matches the Rfam family "Bacterial small subunit ribosomal RNA", at positions 501 to 818 of the family's 1533-position model. The record is from RNAcentral.
CUCGAGAGUGUCAGCCGCCGCGGUAAUACGGAGGAUGCGAGCGUUAUCCGGAUUCAUUGGGUUUAAGGGGUGCGCAGGCGGCCCGUCAAGUCAGCGGUGAAAUCCCGUGGCUCAACCACGGAAGUGCCGUUGAUACUGUCGGGCUGGAAUGCGGUCGAGGCGGGCGGAAAGUGGGGUGUAGCGGUGAAAUGCGUAGAUAUGCCACAGAACGCCGAUAGCGAAGGCAGCUCGCCGGACCUGCAUUGACGCUCAGGCACGAAAGCGUGGGGAUCGAACAGGAUUAGAUCCCCUGGUAGUCCACGCCGUAAACGAUGGGCGCUC